AAAUUUUGAACUUCAGGCCAAAGCCACAUAUUCUCAUGGUAUGGACAUUUUUACAAUUUUCUGUACACAUUUCGGGACUUCAAGCCCUUACAUAAUUGUCUAUAUUUUGAGGAACUUCUGGCAUCUCAUUUAAUUGCUCAUCCAUGAGUUUAAGGAACUGCAGGUUCCCUUUUGUAUAUAGUGACGGUUUACCCAAAAUGGUUAAUAUUUAUGCAUACGUCACUAUUCAUGUGAAUAGUACUAUUCAUCAAGUCAUGAAUACGUAUCUAUUCAUGUGUACAGUACAUCUGCCAGUACAGUUAUCAUCCAUGUGUACGGCACUAUGAACCAAUACGGUACUGUUACAUCAUUAAGGAACUCUAGGUCCUUAUUUACAUGUCAGGGAUCAAGGACCCUUAAGUCCAAUCACAUGUUUACAAAUACAGUACCGGAGAGACUGCCAGCUCUCAUAUUAAUAUCAUCAUCAAGGAUCUUCAAGUCCUGAUUGAUAAGGUCAUAAUUUCACACAUUUGCAUGCCUUCCUUGCUUAGUAAUUUUGUUUAGUUUCUCUUUAUUUUGAGUCUCUUACCUAUGUUUGUGUGUUUUGUAGGUUAGGACAGCAAAGGGGAUCACAUUUGAUGCAAUUCAUGCAUGUUAAGGGUUGAUUGGCACAAGAGGAAUAUGAGCUUAAUGACAGAACCAAUUUGGGCCACACUCCUUGUCAGUCCAAAUUCGUGGGUCAUCUUGCAGGCCUCAUUUCAGCAACCUACACUACUUUGAUGAGGAGACAUGCUUCCCAGAAGUUGUUCCAAUGGGUGUCUAGUAUAACAUAUCCAAAUUUCAGCCCAAUUAAUGAUAGCUAGAAUCCUUGGCCUGUCAAACACUGAACCAUGAUCUAGGAGGAUUUUAAUAUGUAGCUGCCAGCUGGUGAGCCUUGUGCUCCACACCUCCCUUGAGCCAUGUGCCUCACUUCAUCAUUGUUUGACUUUGGACCUGACAUGUUGAGCAAAUUAGGGAGGCAUUUCAGCUAUGGAAGUCAAAAAGGAGCAAAACAUGGCAUGCUUAAUUAUGGGGAUCUUGUCUGCACAAAUCAAGGACCAUUUUCCAGGAAUUCUGGUAGGCUACACAUGGGAGACAAAUCAGUAUGGGAAGUCAAAAAGAUGAACAAAAGUCAAGCUUUCCAUAAAGAAACCAAGAAAAGUCCACCAAAGCAUUUAUUGGGCAGCUGGAAAAGUUGGCAUUUAUUGGGCAGCUUAGGCAAUUGGGAGCAGCUAAGAGAGGUGUGUUUCACCAGCCAAAGGGGAGCACGAAAUUGCACUCUAUAAAUAGAGAGUUGCACACUCAUUCAAAGGGGGAGGGUAGACACACACAUUCAUUUCAUCCAUUACUCUCAUACACACAUUCAGAUUCACCACAAAGAGAGAAGGGAGCUUGGAGCUGUCCUGGGAACUUCCUUGCUGCCACCAUCUAGUUCUUCUCCUCUCUUUAUCCUAUCUAUGUAUUUCUUAUUUUCUGUAUUCAUAGUUAUGUCUAACUAAUCCAUUUAGUUAGGGCUUAGGAUGAAGCCCUAGUCAUGAAUAUUUAAUGUUAUGGAUGAUUUUAUGGUUAAUUGAUUUCCUUGCUUUUAUUAUCAAGUUGUUAACCUCCAGUUUAUUAUGUGCUUGAUGUAUGUUUUCUUGGAGUAGCUAACUAGGAUUUUAUGCAUCUAGCACAGGUUGGGAAGGGGUUUAGAUUCACCAAUUCUACUCUCCUUUCACAAGCAACAUAUGAAUGGCCUAAGAAUCAUUCAAGGGGUUAAUAACCAUAGGUUGACUAGGACAGAUACCAUGUUCUAGGACUUGUGUGAUUAUCAUAUUCUCAAGGAGCUUAAUGACUCUUGUAUGCUUUAUUCUAAGUAGAUACCAUGCUUAGGUUGCAUAUUAGAGAUCACGUGUUGUGUAGAUACCAUGCACAAUCACAUGCCUUAGGAGAAUGAUGCAUCCUGCACCUAGAUACCAUAGGCUUGUAUGCGAUAAUCUAUUGUUGAUGAAGCUUGAGUCAAUUUCUAUGCAUUCAUAACUUGGAUAGGAAGACUAGUGGCAGAUUCCAAGGCUCUAACACCUCUCCAUCAUUGUUUCACAACUUGUUCAUUGCUGCUAGUGUUUACUUUCGAGCACUUUCAUUUCACUUUCUUCUUUUCAUUUGAACAACAAAACCCCUCAUCUUGAGUGCGUGUGUGGUGCUAGGAUUCUGUCCUAGACCUUGAGUAAUUAGCAAGAGGCAUUGUUGAAUUCGACCAUGCCUUUAGCUAGUUAGUCAGUUUCUUUGUUCUAUGUUUUUCUAGCAUUAUAAGUAAUUUAACUUGGAACCAAGUUACCAUUCUCCGUGGGAUCGACCUCGUAUUUACAUAAGCUAUACUAUAAACGGUUCGUGCACUUGCGAGAAUUAAAGGUGCUGUUUUUAAUAACUUAUUUUAGUUGUUAAGAAUAGGCUCAACACUGAUGUAAUUGUAUGAUGAGGAUCAAAGAACUUCUGGUCCUGAUCUGCAUACUGUAAAAACUCAUCAUACAGCACAAUUAAUCCAUAAAAUAAAUUGCUGAUAAAUAAAUUACUAGUGUGGACGAUAAACCCGCACCAUACUUUAAAUAAAUGUAAAUGUGCGGUAAAAUAAAUUCAUAAAUUAAAUUGCUUGCUGUAUGGACGUUAAUCCCGCACCAUACCUUAAAUAAAAUUAAAUGUGCGGUAAAUUAAAUUCGUAAAGUAAACGUGCUUGUAUGGGCACUAAUUCUGCUCCAUACAUUUAAAUAAAAGCAAAGGCGUGGACGAUAAACCCGCACCACCCUUUAAAUAAAUAUUGCCGUAUGGGUAAUAAACCUACACCAUACCAUAAAUAAUACUUUAAGUAAAAGUAAAUUUGUGAUAAAGUAAACGUGCUUGUAUGGGCACUAAUUCUGCUCCAUACAUUUAAAUAAAAGCAAAGGCGUGGACGAUAAACCCGCACCACCCUUUAAAUAUUGCCGUAUGGGUAAUAAACCUACACCAUACCAUAAAUAAAAUAAAUGUUGGGAUAAAAACCUCCACCUAAUAUAUAUGAAGUGCAUAAUAUAUUAUAUAGUGUGGGCAAUAUAACUGCGCCACUAUUCAAGAUAUAAUAGAUGGGUUUUAAGAUCACACCAUCAUUUUAUUACAAUAAUUUGUAUUACAACGCGAUGGGUAAAAAUUACACCACCAUAAAAUAACAGGACUGAUUAAACAACAUAAAAAUUAUAAAUUACGUUACAAAGAAGUAAAUUAAACAAGCAUGGAUUAAACAACAUAGAAAUUGUGAGAACACAAAAAAGAAAGUUUGCAUGUCGUUGUAGUAGUAAAGUGAGAGUAGACAUAUGACAGAGAGGAGACAGAGAAGUAACCACAUAGUGUUGAGUUGGAAAAAUUUCAGAAAUAAAAGGAGAGACUAUCGUGCUGAUAACGUGUUAUAAAAAUAACCUGAAAUAUGUAUGAAUAUUGAGCUGCACGUAAAGUAGAUGAGACACAGCAUUUAACGAGGUUCGGCUAUGCCUACGUCCUCGGAGAGCAGCAGCAGUAACUUUUCACUAUAUAAAAUAAUAUGGCUACAACUUUAGUGUUUACAACAUGUGUGGUUCACUGAAUUUUCUCUCUAGGAGAAUUUCUCUCUGCUCUCUCUUUCCUCUUUCUUCCUUCUCUUCCUCUUGUCUCUUUCCUUUUCUCUCUUUCCUCUUCUCUCUUUCCUCUCUUCUCUUUCCUCUCUUUGUUUCUUUCCGUUUCCCUUUCUCUUCUUUUCUCUUUUCCCUUCUUUCUUUCCUCUUUUCUCUUCUCUUCUAUCUCUAUCUUCUUUCUCUGAUGUGGUCUUAUUUAUAGGCUGAGAAAGGAUACGCGUGAGUGUACCCGUGAGUGUGCAGGUGAUAAGCUUCCAAAAUAUUUUGCUUAAUUUCUUUGUGGGUCCCAUACAUGUGGGCUCCACAUGUUUAUUCUUUACAACAUUAUUCUUAUUUUAUAUAAGUUUUUUUGCUUUUUUGUUGGGUCAAUAUUGUUUGAUGAUAUAAUUGUAUGAAAUCC
Molecule: long non-coding RNA, 4035 nt
Filed under: Prunus persica (peach)
Lineage: Eukaryota; Viridiplantae; Streptophyta; Magnoliopsida; Rosales; Rosaceae
Description: long non-coding RNA (PPER_LNC005351)
Source: RNAcentral